AAAACCUAGAUGACAUUGCCUCAAGGGGCUGAUAUCCAUGCCUAUCCUGAAUACCCGAAUCUUUAGUGCACCAAGAAGGCUAAGGAGAAAAAGAGGUGCCUCCCAACCGCAAAAGGCUUCCUAUCCCAUUAAAAACAGCAAAACAGAUGGUCAGAGACAAAGCUAGGGCAGCUGGCAGCUGGCUGCCUGGCAUGAUGCAAAUGGAUGGUGCCUAGGAAGAGUGCAGACCUUGCCCUGUGGGUGGAGCUUCCCGUGCACCAGAGCAAUUUCCCAGAUUCUUCUGGCAUCUAGUAAAUAUUUGUCCAACUAAAUGAACUCUUGAGUCUGAUUUGUGAAGCCGGAAAGCACUUGUUUGCUCCUUAUUUCUUUGCAUAAUGACAGAAACAGGUACGGUACGAGUUUAAUAAAUGAAAA
Molecule: long non-coding RNA, 414 nt
Filed under: Pogona vitticeps (central bearded dragon)
Lineage: Eukaryota; Metazoa; Chordata; Lepidosauria; Squamata; Agamidae
Description: lncRNA (ENSPVIG00000017951.1)
Source: RNAcentral